This is a long non-coding RNA of Humulus lupulus (European hop), 430 nucleotides long. RefSeq lists it as uncharacterized. NCBI's taxonomy places the organism in Eukaryota, Viridiplantae, Streptophyta, Magnoliopsida, Rosales, Cannabaceae. The transcript is spliced from 3 exons. The record is from RefSeq and is a predicted model, not a curated record.
CUGGAAUUUGAGGCUGAAAUUCUGAGGAAAUUUAUGCUAAGACUUCACACUUGGCCCCUUGAUUUGGCUUGAUGAGUUAGCAAGAGUAAUUCAGUCCAUUUGAGGGAAUUAAGCCUGUGGUUUUGAGGAGUGAAAGCUAAGAAGGUGUGGAAGAUAACAUAGGUCGAAAUCCUCCAUCAAAGGUAAAGGCAAGGGUAAGAUGGACCAGUCCUGAGUGGGAGACCUUUGAGGCUGAAUGUACAUAGUCGGCUGAUCGGCCGCCACGACCGAGGAGUGGUACAGGACGGGAAAGCCUAAAUGUCUGUUUUGCCCUUAGAGUGGCUAGUAGCUGUACCUAUAUGAAAUGGAACUUUUGUAACCAAAAUCUUUUAACCCUAGUUCAAUUAUAGUUUCAGUAACACGUUUCUAACUAAAUGACUUGAUUAGCAAG